CCUACGGUAGGCAGCAGUGGGGAAUUUUGGACAAUGGGGGCAACCCUGAUCCAGCCAUUCCGCGUGAGUGAAGAAGGCCUUCGGGUUGUAAAGCUCUUUCGCAAGGGAAGAAACUUAUGAUCGAAUAAAUCAUGAGGUUGACGGUACCUUGAUAAGAAGCACCGGCUAACUACGUGCCAGCAGCCGCGGUAAUACGUAGGGUGCGAGCGUUAAUCGGAAUUACUGGGCGUAAAGCGUGCGCAGGCGGUUUUGUAAGUCGGAUGUGAAAUCCCCGGGCUCAACCUGGGAACUGCGUUCGAAACUGCAAGGCUAGAGUGUGUCAGAGGGGGGUAGAAUUCCACGUGUAGCAGUGAAAUGCGUAGAGAUGUGGAGGAAUACCAAUGGCGAAGGCAGCCCCCUGGGAUAACACUGACGCUCAUGCACGAAAGCGUGGGGAGCAAACAGGAUUAGAUACCCUGGUAGUCCACGCCCUAAACGAUGUCAACUAGUUGUUGGUAGAGUAAAAUCUAUGAGUAACCGUAGCUAACGCGUGAAGUUGACCGCCUGGGGAGUACGGUGCAAGNUUAAAACUUCAAAGGAAUUGACCGGNGNGNGAGNGCGACGACGACGACGAGGAGGAGG
Molecule: ribosomal RNA, 621 nt
Filed under: uncultured bacterium
Lineage: Bacteria
Description: bacterial SSU rRNA
Rfam family: Bacterial small subunit ribosomal RNA
Source: RNAcentral